GAAUGCGUCUCGGUCAAAGCUCAUCCUUGUGGUGUGGCUGGACUGGCGUUUCCUAUCUUCCGAUAGUGGGGUCAAACUCGCUUCGGAUCGUUUACUUUGAAAAAAUUAGAGUGUUUCAGGCAGGCAAUUGCUUGGAUACUGCAGCAUGGAAUAAUGGAAUAGGACUUUGAUCUAUUUGUUGGUUUCUCGAGAUCAAAGUA
This 200-nucleotide ribosomal RNA is filed under the name uncultured fungus. RNAcentral describes it as "partial small subunit ribosomal RNA". The stretch from base 82 to 200 matches the Rfam family "Eukaryotic small subunit ribosomal RNA", at positions 742 to 864 of the family's 1831-position model. Lineage: Eukaryota; Fungi. The record is from RNAcentral.